CGUUAAGCGAUGACCAAGAGCCUUUUAGCAAGCGGCUGGCAGCGAGGGUCCGCCUGGUGAAAAGGACCUCAGCCAAGGCUAAAAGGGUAGCUUGCGAGCAAGCCUUCUGAAUCCAGUAGGAAGGUUCGGUUCAUUUACCGUUAUCAAAUGGUCAAGUGGGGAUGGGUUUGCCCAUCCCAAAUUAGGUGGUACCGCGAGCAGUCUCGUCCUAUGU
This 214-nucleotide non-coding RNA is filed under the name Limosilactobacillus ingluviei. RNAcentral's name for it is "Lactobacillus ingluviei T-box sequence". It matches the Rfam family "T-box leader". Rfam says of the family: Uncharged tRNA acts as the effector for transcription antitermination of genes in the T-box leader family. T-boxes are found upstream of many aminoacyl-tRNA synthetase genes and some amino acid biosynthetic genes usually in Gram-positive bacteria. The anticodon of a specific tRNA base pairs to a specifier sequence within the T-box motif, and the NCCA acceptor tail of the tRNA base pairs to a conserved bulge in the T-box antiterminator hairpin. Lineage: Bacteria; Bacillati; Bacillota; Bacilli; Lactobacillales; Lactobacillaceae. The record is from RNAcentral.